Molecule: ribosomal RNA, 498 nt
Filed under: uncultured bacterium
Lineage: Bacteria
Description: partial 16S ribosomal RNA
Rfam family: Bacterial small subunit ribosomal RNA
Source: RNAcentral
AUUGAACGCUGGCGGCAUGCCUUACACAUGCAAGUCGAACGGUAACAGGUCUUCGGAUGCUGACGGGUGGCGAACGGGUGAGUAAUACAUCGGAACGUGCCUAGUAGUGGGGGAUAACUACUCGAAAGAGUGGCUAAUACCGCAUGAGAUCUACGGAUGAAAGCAGGGGAUCGCAAGACCUUGUGCUACUAGAGCGGCCGAUGGCAGAUUAGGCAGUUGGUGGGAUAAAAGCUUACCAAGCCGACGAUCUGUAGCUGGCCUGAGAGGACGAUCAGCCACACUGGGACUGAGACACGGCCCAGACUCCUACGGGAGGCAGCAGUGGGGAAUUUUGGACAAUGGGCGAAAGCCUGAUCCAGCAAUGCCGCGUGCAGGAUGAGGGCCUUCGGGUUGUAAACUGCUUUUGUACGGAACGAAAAGCCCCGGGUUAAUACCCUGGGGUCAUGACGGUACCGUAAGAAUAAGCACCGGCUAACUACGUGCCAGCCGCCGCGGUAA